CAAAAAAUCUGAACUCCUCUGGAAUAUUUCUGCUCUGUUUUGCAGGCUGGUGUGCUUCUCUCCUCAGCAAGGCCCUUCUUAACGGUGAUUAAAAGGCAGCCAUUUGUUUUGCAAGCCAGACAAAGAAAGAAAAGAGGAAGACUUUGCUGCAGCAAAUCUCCUAUUCCUCUGGGCUCUAACAAACUAGAAAAUGCUGGGGAUUAGAGGACUGCACUGCCUCCAACAACAUAAAACAGUGCUAAUCCACAAAAUGCAAUGUUAAUCUAAGUGGGUCUAUCUUCUCUAAUUUGCAGUGAACUGAGGUCAACUAGAUUUUUAUCUGAGCUCCAAACUGGGAAGCAGAAAACAGCAAAAAUGAAACAUCACAACUUGAUUGGAUCCUGCUUUUAGCACAAGAUUGUACGACCCACUGCUGCACAGGAUGCUUCCAGAUUAGAAGGCCAAAGAUAAGCAAGGAAAUGUGGCUGGCCCCCGUGUUCACAUUUAUUUCAAGAAGAAUAGGGUCCAGGCAUUCAACUGAUAACUCUGCAGACACAGAAGAAGUCUUCAAGCCAACUCCAGAUCAAUGCCAAGGACUUUCCAUGUUAGCACGGUAGACCUUUUAGACUGAACUUGAUCAAAAGUUGCUAACAUUCAAGUGAGGGCAGGACCCAGAUCCUCUUACUCUAUAUCCUUAGUCCCUGGUACUACGAAAC
RNAcentral lists this long non-coding RNA (695 nucleotides) under Fukomys damarensis (Damara mole-rat). RNAcentral describes it as "lncRNA (ENSFDAG00000028331.1)". Lineage: Eukaryota; Metazoa; Chordata; Mammalia; Rodentia; Bathyergidae. The record is from RNAcentral.